RNAcentral lists this non-coding RNA (160 nucleotides) under Patagioenas fasciata monilis. Its description in RNAcentral is "Eukaryotic large subunit ribosomal RNA". It matches the Rfam family "Eukaryotic large subunit ribosomal RNA", at positions 2825 to 2984 of the family's 3401-position model. The record is from Rfam by way of RNAcentral. Lineage: Eukaryota; Metazoa; Chordata; Aves; Columbiformes; Columbidae.
GAUAACUGGCUUGUGGUGGUCAAGCGUUCAUAGCGACGUCGCUUUUUGAUCCUUCGAUGUCGGCUCUUCCUAUCAUUGUGGAGCAGAAUUCACCAAGCGUUGGAUUGCUCACCCACUCAUAGGGAACGUGAGCUGGGUUUAGACCAUCGUGAGACAGGUC